Molecule: ribosomal RNA, 252 nt
Filed under: uncultured bacterium
Lineage: Bacteria
Description: partial 16S ribosomal RNA
Rfam family: Bacterial small subunit ribosomal RNA
Source: RNAcentral
UACGUAGGGGGCAAGCGUUGUCCGGAUUUAUUGGGCGUAAAGAGCGUGUAGGCGGCCAGGCAGGUCCGUUGUGAAAACUCGAGGCUCAACCUCGAGACGUCGAUGGAAACCGUCGGGCUAGAGUCCGGAAGAGGAGAGUGGAAUUCCUGGUGUAACGGUGAAAUGUGCAGAUAUCAGGAAGAACACCCGUGGCGAAAGCGGCUCUCUGGGACGGUACUGACGCUGAGACGCGAAAGCGUGGGGAGCAAACAG